GACGAACGCUGGCGGCGUGCUUAACACAUGCAAGUCGAACGGUAAGGCCCUUCGGGCUACACGAGUGGCGAACGGGUGAGUAACACGUGGGUGAUCUGCCCUGCACUUCGGGAUAAGCCUGGGAAACUGGGUCUAAUACCGGAUAGGACCACUGCCUGCAUGGGUGGUGGUGGAAAGCUUUUGCGGUGUGGGGUGGGCCCGCGGCCUAUCAGCUUGUUGGUGGGGUGAUGGCCUACCAAGGCGACGACGGGUAGCCGGCCGGAGAGGGUGACCGGCGACACUGGGACUGGGAUACGGCCCAGCCUCCUACGGGAGGCAGCAUUGGGGAAUAUUGCACAAUGGGCGCAAGCCUGAUGCAGCGGCGCCGCGUGAGGGAUGACGGCCUUCGGGUUGUAAACCUCUUUCAGCACCGACGAAGCGCAAGUGACGGUAGGUGCAGAAGAAGGACCGGCCAACUACGUGCCAGCCGCCGCUGUAA
Molecule: ribosomal RNA, 478 nt
Filed under: uncultured bacterium
Lineage: Bacteria
Description: partial 16S ribosomal RNA
Rfam family: Bacterial small subunit ribosomal RNA
Source: RNAcentral